UGAGUACGAGAUGCUACGGCAUUGAAGCAGUCUAUGUCAUACUUCCAAGAAAAGCUUGCACUGUCAUAAACAAAGAAUGCCUGUACCAUAACCGACACAGGUGGGUAGGUAGAGUAUACUAAGGGGCGCGAGAUAACUCUCUCUAAGGAACUCGGCAAAAUGACUCCGUAACUUCGGGAGAAGGAGUGCCUUAUUUUUAAGGUUGCAAUAACAAGAUCCAAGCAACUGUUUAUCAAAAACACAGGUCUCCGCUAAGUCGUAAGACGAUGUAUGGGGGCUGACGCCUGCCCAGUGCCAGAAGGUUAAAGAAGUUGGUUAGCAUUCGCGAAGCUGAUAACUGAAGCCCUGGUGAACGGCGGCCGUAACAAUAACGGUCCUAAGGUAGCGAAAUUCCUUGUCGGGUAAGUUCCGACCCGCACGAAAGGCGUAAUGAUUUGGAUACUGUCUCGGAGAGGGACUCGGUGAAAUAGACUUGUCUGUGAAGAUGCGGACUACCUGCACCUGGACAGAAAGACCCUAUGAAGCUUUACUGUAACUUGAAAUUGAAAUUGGACUUUAGUUGCGCAGGAUAGGAGGGAGGCGUUGAGAAUAUUCUUGCGGGAGUAUUGGAGCCAUCAGUGAGAUACCACUCUUCUAAUGUUAGAUUUCUAACUUUGUAUCAUUAUCUGGUCAAAGAACAGUUUCAGGCGGGCAGUUUGACUGAGGCGGUCGCCUCCUAAAGGGUAACGGAGGCGCACAAAGGUUUCCUCUGAACGAGUAGAAAUCGUAUCUAGAGUGUAAAGGCAUAAGGAAGCUUGACUGUGAGACCUACAAGUCGAGCAGGGACGAAAGUCGGUCUUAGUGAUCUGACGGUGCUGAGUGGAAAGGCCGUCACUCAACGGAUAAAAGUUACUCUAGGAUAACAGGCUGAUCUCCCCCAAGAGUUCACAUCGACGGGGAGGUUUGGCACCUCGAUGUCGGCUCAUCGCAUCCUGGGGCGGUAGUACGUCCCAAGGGUUGGGCUGUUCGCCCAUGAAAGCGGUACGCGAGCUGGGUUCAGAACGUCGUGAGACAGUUCGGUCCAUAUCCGGUGUAGGCGUUAGAAUAUUGAGAGGAGCCUUCUCUAGUACGAGAGGACCGAGAAGGACAUACCUCUAGUGUACCAGUUAUCGUGCCAACGGUAAACGCUGGGUAGCUAUGUAUGGAGUGGAUAACCGCUGAAAGCAUCUAAGUGGGAAGCCCACCUCAAGAUAAG
This 1234-nucleotide ribosomal RNA is filed under the name metagenome. Its description in RNAcentral is "bacterial LSU rRNA". It matches the Rfam family "Bacterial large subunit ribosomal RNA", at positions 1564 to 2808 of the family's 2925-position model. The record is from RNAcentral.